RNAcentral lists this ribosomal RNA (443 nucleotides) under uncultured Glomus. Its description in RNAcentral is "SSU rRNA". It matches the Rfam family "Eukaryotic small subunit ribosomal RNA", at positions 569 to 1016 of the family's 1831-position model. Lineage: Eukaryota; Fungi; Glomeromycota; Glomeromycetes; Glomerales; Glomeraceae. The record is from RNAcentral.
GGCAGCCGCGGUAAUUCCAGCUCCAAUAGCGUAUAUUAAAGUUGUUGCAGUUAAAAAGCUCGUAGUUGAAUUUCGGGGUUAGCAAGUUGGUCGUGCCUUCGGUAUGCACUGGCUUUGCUGAUUCCUCCUUCUUGAAGAACUGUGAUGCUAUUAAUUUGGUGUUGCAGGGAAACAGGACUGUUACUUUGAAGAAAUUAGAGUGUUUAAAGCAGGCUAACGCUUGAAUACAUUAGCAUGGAAUAAUGAAAUGGGACGUUUGAUCCUAUUUUGUUGGUUUCUAGGAUUGACGUAAUGAUUAAUAGGGAUAGUUGGGGGCAUUAGUAUUCAAUUGUCAGAGGUGAAAUUCUUGGAUUUAUUGAAGACUAACUACUGCGAAAGCAUUUGCCAAGGAUGUUUUCAUUAAUCAAGAACGAAAGUUAGGGGAUCGAAGACGAUCAGAUACC